GACGAACGCUGGCGGCGUGCUUAACACAUGCAAGUCGAACGGAAAGGCCCUGCUUUUGUGGGGAGCUCGAGUGGCGAACGGGUGAGUAACACGUGAGUAACCUGCCCUUGACUUUGGGAUAACUUCAGGAAACUGGGGCUAAUACCGGAUAGGAGCUCCUGCUGCAUGGUGGGGGUUGGAAAGUUUCGGCGGUUGGGGAUGGACUCGCGGCUUAUCAGCUUGUUGGUGGGGUAGUGGCUUACCAAGGCUUUGACGGGUAGCCGGCCUGAGAGGGUGACCGGCCACAUUGGGACUGAGAUACGGCCCAGACUCCUACGGGAGGCAGCAGUGGGGAAUAUUGCACAAUGGGCGGAAGCCUGAUGCAGCAACGCCGCGUGCGGGAUGAAGGCCUUCGGGUUGUAAACCGCUUUCGCCUGUGACGAAGCGUGAGUGACGGUAAUGGGUAAAGAAGCACCGGCUAACUACGUG
Molecule: ribosomal RNA, 468 nt
Filed under: uncultured bacterium
Lineage: Bacteria
Description: partial 16S ribosomal RNA
Rfam family: Bacterial small subunit ribosomal RNA
Source: RNAcentral